AGUACGUGAAACUGUGUGGCAGUAAACGGAGCCUUCCUCGAAGUUGCUGCGGGCGGAUCCAGCCUUGGUGCUGGCGCCAGUGUCUUGAAUUUGACCAGCAAUGGCUUAUUUAGGACUUCUUGGCGUCGCCAUCCUCGGUGCAUCUCCGCCCGCUAGCUACGGUAGGAACUGUUGGGCACAGACCUCAGGCCCUGGCAAGAGUUUUCGCUCCGGCGUUAGCUGCCCGGGUGUCCCGGCUCUGAGCCCGACAGGCUUGCGACCGACUCGUAUAGCGAGCAGCCAUGUUUGCUGCGGUCGGUCUUUCUCUACCGAGUAGGUUGGUGGAGGCUUCGACCCGUCUUGAAAACACGGAC
Molecule: ribosomal RNA, 353 nt
Filed under: Acartia bispinosa
Lineage: Eukaryota; Metazoa; Arthropoda; Copepoda; Calanoida; Acartiidae
Description: partial 28S ribosomal RNA
Source: RNAcentral